UCCAGACUCCUACGGGAGGCAGCAGUGGGGAAUAUUGCACAAUGGGGGAAACCCUGGUGCAGCGACGCCGCGUGAGUGAAGAAGUAUUUCGGUAUGUAAAGCUCUAUCAGCAGGGAAGAAAAUGACGGUACCUGACUAAGAAGCCCCGGCUAACUACGUGCCAGCAGCCGCGGUAAUACGUAGGGGGCAAGCGUUAUCCGGAUUUACUGGGUGUAAAGGGAGCGUAGACGGCAUGGCAAGUCAGAUGUGAAAGCCCGGGGCUCAACCCCGGGACUGCAUUUGAAACUGUCAGGCUGGAGUGCAGGAGAGGUAAGUGGAAUUCCUAGUGUAGCGGUGAAAUGCGUAGAUAUUAGGAGGAACACCAGUGGCGAAGGCGGCUUUCUGGACUGUAACUGACAUUGAGGCACGAAAGUGUGGGGAGCAAACAGGAUUAGAUACCCGAGUAGAA
This 448-nucleotide ribosomal RNA is filed under the name uncultured bacterium. RNAcentral describes it as "bacterial SSU rRNA". It matches the Rfam family "Bacterial small subunit ribosomal RNA", at positions 330 to 795 of the family's 1533-position model. The record is from RNAcentral.